This 253-nucleotide ribosomal RNA is filed under the name uncultured bacterium. Its description in RNAcentral is "partial 16S ribosomal RNA". It matches the Rfam family "Bacterial small subunit ribosomal RNA", at positions 524 to 776 of the family's 1533-position model. The record is from RNAcentral.
UACGAAGGUCCCAAGCGUUGUUCGGAAUCACUGGGCGUAAAGCGUGUGUAGGCUGCGCGGAAAGUCAAAUGUGAAAGCCCAGGGCUCAACCCUGGAACUGCAUUCGAUACUCCCGUGCUAGAGUAAUGGAGGGGUAAGUGGAAUUCUCGGUGUAGCAGUGAAAUGCGUAGAUAUCGAGAGGAACAUCAAUGGCGAAGGCAACUUACUGGACAUUAACUGACGCUCAGACACGAAGGCUAGGGGAGCGAAAGGG